AGCUCAGUUCGUAGAGCGCUUUACUUGUAAUGGAGAGGUCCCGGGUUCGAUACCCGG
Ixodes scapularis (black-legged tick) is the source of this 57-nucleotide non-coding RNA. The record is from Rfam. Lineage: Eukaryota; Metazoa; Arthropoda; Arachnida; Ixodida; Ixodidae.